UUGACCUCAAAUCAGGUAGGACUACCCGNUGAACUUAAGCAUAUCAAUAAGCGG
This 54-nucleotide ribosomal RNA is filed under the name Resinicium confertum. Its description in RNAcentral is "partial large subunit ribosomal RNA". The record is from RNAcentral. Lineage: Eukaryota; Fungi; Basidiomycota; Agaricomycetes; Hymenochaetales.